Molecule: long non-coding RNA, 1982 nt
Organism: Mus musculus (house mouse)
Lineage: Eukaryota; Metazoa; Chordata; Mammalia; Rodentia; Muridae
Product: predicted gene, 29684
Exons: 4
Source: RefSeq, marked validated
GGGUGCUUGCGGAACGCAGACCAGCUUCUAUAGCCAAAGGGAACAGUAUCUACCAGGGGAUACUGUUAAGAAACCAAUCUACCAAGGGAGGAAGAACACAUUCCAAAGACGGUCUUCCAGGAAGCCUGACUGAUCAGAAUGGCCCAGAGAGAACAGUGAGAUCCAAGCAUCCUCCCUUGGACCUUCCUUGUUACUUAGCUUCUUUGGAUCUGUGGAUUGUACGAUGGUUAUCCUGUACCUUAUGGCUAAUGUCCACUUAUAAGGCAGCAGCGGGUGAUGCUUGGUCAAGGAGUGAGGAAGACGAGCAGUCAAACUUCUAUACAUACGGCAGGGAAAAGUCAUAGAAGCAGGCGGACUGGAGGAAGCCAGAGGUGGGGAGUUUCCAGAACGGCUCUCGGAAGGAGCAGUGGCCUUUGUAUAGUGAACCUCCAGCUCCAACUUCUUCCUGGAUUCACAGCCAGAGAAGUCAUGCCGUGUGGAAGCCUGCUGGUUUCUAGAACUCCAUAGAACAUCUACCUCUGUCUGGGUGAUUUCUGGUAAUCAGCAAAGCCUGGAAAUUUUGAAUCAUCUCCAUCAGAAACAGACAAGCUAUCUUCUUUUCAGUACGGGGGACCAAACUAAGAACCCUGUACAAGCUAGACAAAUAAUCUCUCGAUGCAGCACACCCUCAGAUCCCUGCCCCACAACUGUCUUUUCUCCCUGCUAGUAAAACUUUCCAAUCAAAAUCAUUUUCCCACAAUUAAAAAAUUAUAACUUAAUACAUAUACAUGGAAAAAUAAGAAAUCAAGAUUAACUUGUAAUUAUUAAAACAGAAUAAGGCACCAGCCAGCCUUAUUUCUGUCUGAGCUGGUUCCCUUUUUCUAGAAACCAUUUCUGUAAAUUAUAAAGUUUUAAAUUCCAUAAUGGUUACCUUCUCAUUGAUUUAAAAAAUGCUGUACAAACUUUUGUAGUUUACUAUAUUUAUUCUCUACACACUGGCCUACUAUUAAAGUGACUCUCACUCACUCUUUCCUCUGAGGCCCCCUACUUCCCAGGAUCUAUCAUUAGCUUCAAUGGGGGGCUUUUAUAAUUUAAAACCUACCAUGGCGUUUCUAUUAAUCUUCCUAUGUAAUAUCUUCUGAAACAAGAUUUUGAUAACUUAUCAAUGAAAAUUCAAUAUUGAGUUGGGAGAGCAGGGUGAGAUGCAUGUGCUGCCACAAACCUAUAAUCCCAUGGCUCGUGAGGCCGAGGCUGCAGAAUGAGGGCUAGAAGCCAUACUAGGUUACAUAACACGUUCCAGGGUGGCCUCGGUUACAGAGUGAGACUCUCUCAAAAAACAAGUCAAACAAAAUAUACACACAAAGAAGAAAAACAAACAAACAAACAAACAAACAACACACACACACCAAGUUGUAACCUGUAAUUUAGAUAUGAAGGUCACAAUGAAAUGGCUAGAAAGAGAUUUUUGGUUUUUUGUGGUUUUUUUUCCAGUAAUAAUACAAUCUCAGGGGUCACAGUAUGAGCGAGCAAAUGUCCUGUAACAAAAUUAUCUUCAUGUGUAGGCAUCCACUAAAGGAAGUUUUGAACUUUCUCUGAUUGGUCUGACAGGCAUGCAAAUAGCGAUUCUGUAGUCUCUGAAAUAUUUUGCAUUAUAGCUGAAUAUGAAAGAAAAAAUGAUUAAUUUACUCCUUAAAAUUUUUUAUUGUAUUUAUUUAUUGGUGGGGGCAUGCCAAGGUGCACACUCCAAGGUCAAAGGACAGCUUAUAAGAAUUGGUUCUCUCCUUUGACCCUGUGGGUCCUGGAGAUUAAACUCAGGUCAUUUGGAUUGCAUGCCAAGUGUCUUUAUCCACUAAGCCAUCUCACCAGUCCAAGAGUAAUUAGUGAUCAAAUAUUAUGAACUUAUACUAAGUUACCAUUAUAUUAUGAAGUUUAUAGAUUUCCUAUUAUUGUUGUUAUUAUAUACAUAUGUGUGUAUAUAAUGUGUGUAAUAAAAUGUCAAAUGU